GAUGAACGCUGGCGGCGUGCCUAAUACAUGCAAGUCGAGCGAACAGACGAGAAGCUUGCUCCUCUGACGUUAGCGGCGGACGGGUGAGUAACACGUGGAUAACCUACCUAUAAGACUGGGAUAACUUCGGGAAACCGGAGCUAAUACCGGAUAAUAUAUUGAACCGCAUGGUUCAAUAGUGAAAGACGGUUUUGCUGUCACUUAUAGAUGGAUCCGCGCCGCAUUAGCUAGUUGGUAAGGUAACGGCUUACCAAGGCGACGAUGCGUAGCCGACCUGAGAGGGAGGUCGGGCACACUUGAACUGGAACACGGUCCAGACUCCUAAGGGAGGCAGCAGUAGGGAAACAUCCGCAAUGGGGGGAAGCCUGACUGAGCAAAGCCGCGUGAGAGGUGGAGGUCUUCGGAUCGGUAAACUCUGUUAUGAGGGAAGAACAAAUGUGUAAGUAACUAUGCACGUCUUGACGGUACCUAGUAAGAAAGGCACGGCUAACUACGUG
Molecule: ribosomal RNA, 497 nt
Filed under: uncultured bacterium
Lineage: Bacteria
Description: partial 16S ribosomal RNA
Rfam family: Bacterial small subunit ribosomal RNA
Source: RNAcentral